This 177-nucleotide ribosomal RNA is filed under the name Lactobacillus delbrueckii. RNAcentral describes it as "partial 16S ribosomal RNA". It matches the Rfam family "Bacterial small subunit ribosomal RNA", at positions 394 to 563 of the family's 1533-position model. The record is from RNAcentral. Lineage: Bacteria; Bacillati; Bacillota; Bacilli; Lactobacillales; Lactobacillaceae.
ACGCCGCGUGAGUGAAGAAGGUCUUCGGAUCGUAAAGCUCUGCUGUUGGUGAAGAAGGAUAGAGGCAGUAACUGGUCUUUAUUUGACGGUAAUCAACCAGACAGUCACGGCUAACUACGUGCCAGCAGCCGCGGUAAUACGUAGGUGGCAAGCGUUGUCCGGAUUUAUUGGGCGUAA